RNAcentral lists this ribosomal RNA (496 nucleotides) under uncultured bacterium. Its description in RNAcentral is "partial 16S ribosomal RNA". It matches the Rfam family "Bacterial small subunit ribosomal RNA", at positions 29 to 507 of the family's 1533-position model. The record is from RNAcentral.
AUGAACGCUGGCGGCGUGCCUCAUCCAUGCCAGUCGCGCGAACAGACGAGGAGCUUGCUCCUCUGACGUUAGCGGCGGACGGGUGAGUAACACGUGGAUAACCUACCUAUAAGACUGGGAUAACUUCGGGAAACCGGAGCUAAUACCGGAUAAUAUAUUGAACCGCAUGGUUCAAUAGUGAAAGACGGUUUUGCUGUCACUUAUAGAUGGAUCCGCGCCGCAUUAGCUAGUUGGUAAGGUAACGGCUUACCAAGGCAACGAUGCGUAGCCGACCUGAGAGGGUGAUCGGCCACACUGGAACUGAGACACGGUCCAGACUCCUACGGGAGGCAGCAGUAGGGAAUCUUCCGCAAUGGGCGAAAGCCUGACGGAGCAACGCCGCGUGAGUGAUGAAGGUCUUCGGAUCGUAAAACUCUGUUAUUAGGGAAGAACAAAUGUGUAAGUAACUAUGCACGUCUUGACGGUACCUAAUCAGAAAGCCACGACUAACUACGUG